Molecule: non-coding RNA, 305 nt
Organism: Procambarus clarkii (red swamp crayfish)
Lineage: Eukaryota; Metazoa; Arthropoda; Malacostraca; Decapoda; Cambaridae
Source: RefSeq, a predicted model, not a curated record
GCCACUAACCACACCACCGCCGUGGGAACAACACAACCACUCCAGGUGAGGAGAGUGGUCAGGGUGAGGUGCACCACCACGGCUCCUGCUGCCUCACGGACCAGAGGAUAUCACACAACACUGCUGAACAACUGGGAGUGAGUAUCGGGGAGUCACAAGAUGGAGGCAAGGUUCGCAGCCCGUUUCCACUUGCGUCUUCCUCAACCUUUACCCAGACAAGUCACGGACUUCACCUGCAGCUACAGCAAACUCCAGUCUGUCCUGAUCAUCUGUGGUACUUCAACAGUCAGCUCAGAUGACGUUCA